GCAAUCUGCCCUUCACUCUGGGACAAGCCCUGGAAACGGGGUCUAAUACCGGAUAACACUCUGUCCCGCAUGGGACGGGGUUAAAAGCUCCGGCGGUGAAGGAUGAGCCCGCGGCCUAUCAGCUUGUUGGUGGGGUAAUGGCCUACCAAGGCGACGACGGGUAGCCGGCCUGAGAGGGCGACCGGCCACACUGGGACUGAGACACGGCCCAGACUCCUACGGGAGGCAGCAGUGGGGAAUAUUGCACAAUGGGCGAAAGCCUGAUGCAGCGACGCCGCGUGAGGGAUGACGGCCUUCGGGUUGUAAACCUCUUUCAGCAGGGAAGAAGCGAAAGUGACGGUACCUGCAGAAGAAGCGCCGGCUAACUACGUGCCAGCAGCCGCGGUAAUACGUAGGGCGCAAGCGUUGUCCGGAAUUAUUGGGCGUAAAGAGCUCGUAGGCGGCUUGUCACGUCGGAUGUGAAAGCCCGGGGCUUAACCCCGGGUCUGCAUUCGAUACGGGCUAGCUAGAGUGUGGUAGGGGAGAUCGGAAUUCCUGGUGUAGCGGUGAAAUGCGCAGAUAUCAGGAGGAACACCGGUGGCGAAGGCGGAUCUCUGGGCCAUUACUGACGCUGAGG
Molecule: ribosomal RNA, 616 nt
Filed under: Streptomyces sp. T3-YH-1849
Lineage: Bacteria; Bacillati; Actinomycetota; Actinomycetes; Kitasatosporales; Streptomycetaceae
Description: bacterial SSU rRNA
Rfam family: Bacterial small subunit ribosomal RNA
Source: RNAcentral